UACGUAGGGUGCGAGCGUUAAUCGGAAUUACUGGGCGUAAAGCGUGCGCAGGCGGUUCGUUAAGUUCGUUGUGAAAGCCCCGGGCUCAACCUGGGAAUGGCAAUGGAAACUGGCGGGCUGGAGUGUGGCAGAGGGGGGUGGAAUUCCGCGUGUAGCAGUGAAAUGCGUAGAGAUGCGGAGGAACACCGAUGGCGAAGGCGGCAUCCUGGACCGACACUGACGCUGAGGAGCGAAAGCCAGGGGAGCAAACGGG
This 253-nucleotide ribosomal RNA is filed under the name uncultured bacterium. RNAcentral's name for it is "partial 16S ribosomal RNA". It matches the Rfam family "Bacterial small subunit ribosomal RNA", at positions 524 to 776 of the family's 1533-position model. The record is from RNAcentral.